CUGUUUCAAUCUGUUGCGGCGAGAUAAAGUGAAUGUGCGUAUCAAUACCGCCGGCAGUUAGGAUAUAGCCUGCUCCCCCAUGUACUUCCGUGGACGCACCGAUGAUCAUGCCCUCGGUUACACCAUCCUGUACAUCUGGGUUUCCAGCUUUACCAAUACCGACAAUUUUACCAUCCUUAAUUCCGAUAUCGCCUUUUACAAUACCCCAGUGGUCGAUGAUAAUGACAUUAGUGAUACAAAAAUCCAAUACCCCCUCAUCACGCAAGGCACGGGCAGAUUGUCCCAUACCGUCACGAAUGG
Sphingobacterium sp. Ag1 is the source of this 300-nucleotide non-coding RNA. The record is from Rfam. Lineage: Bacteria; Pseudomonadati; Bacteroidota; Sphingobacteriia; Sphingobacteriales; Sphingobacteriaceae.